GUGGGGAAUCUUCCGCAAUGGACGAAAGUCUGGCGGAGCAACGCCGCGUGAGUGAAGAAGGUUUUCGGAUCGUAAAGCUCUUUCGUUAGGGACGAACGUGCUCUUUGUGAAUAAUGAGGAGUAAUGACGGUACCUAAAUAAGAAGCCACGGCUAACUACGUGCCAGCAGCCGCGGUAAUACAUAGGUGGCAAGCGUUGUCCGGAAUUAUUGGGCGUAAAGCGCGCGCAGGCGGGAUAUCAAGUCUGUCUUAAAAGUGCGAGGCUCAACCUCGUGAGGGGACAGAAACUGGUAUUCUUGAGUGUCGGAGAGGAAAGUGGAAUUCCAAGUGUAGCGGUGAAAUGCGUAGAGAUUUGGAAGAACACCAGUGGCGAAGGCGACUUUCUGGACGAUGUCUGACGCUGAGGCGCGAAAGCUAGGGGAGCGAACGGGAUUAGAAACCCCGGUAGUCC
This 450-nucleotide ribosomal RNA is filed under the name uncultured bacterium. RNAcentral describes it as "partial 16S ribosomal RNA". It matches the Rfam family "Bacterial small subunit ribosomal RNA", at positions 354 to 796 of the family's 1533-position model. The record is from RNAcentral.